Molecule: ribosomal RNA, 243 nt
Filed under: uncultured bacterium
Lineage: Bacteria
Description: partial 16S ribosomal RNA
Rfam family: Bacterial small subunit ribosomal RNA
Source: RNAcentral
UGGGUAACCUACCCAUCAGAGGGGGAUAACACUUGGAAACAGGUGCUAAUACCGCAUAACAGUUUAUGCCGCAUGGCAUAAGAGUGAAAGGCGCUUUCGGGUGUCGCUGAUGGAUGGACCCGCGGUGCAUUAGCUAGUUGGUGAGGUAACGGCUCACCAAGGCCACGAUGCAUAGCCGACCUGAGAGGGUGAUCGGCCACACUGGGACUGAGACACGGCCCAGACUCCUACGGGAGGCAGCAG